Molecule: ribosomal RNA, 543 nt
Filed under: uncultured bacterium
Lineage: Bacteria
Description: bacterial SSU rRNA
Rfam family: Bacterial small subunit ribosomal RNA
Source: RNAcentral
AACGCGAAGAACCUUACCUACUCUGACAUCUACAAAAGCCAGCGGAGACGCAGGUGUGCCCUCGGGAACUGUAAGACAGGUGCUGCAUGGCUGUCGUCAGCUCGUGUUGUGAAAUGUUGGGUUAAGUCCCGCAACGAGCGCAACCCUUAUCCUUGUUUGCCAGCACUUCGGGUGGGAACUCCAGGGAGACUGCCGGUGAUAAACCGGAGGAAGGUGGGGACGACGUCAAGUCAUCAUGGCCCUUACGAGUAGGGCUACACACGUGCUACAAUGGCGCAUACAGAGGGCGGCCAACUUGCGAAAGUGAGCGAAUCCCAAAAAGUGCGUCGUAGUCCGGAUUGGAGUCUGCAACUCGACUCCAUGAAGUCGGAAUCGCUAGUAAUCGUGGAUCAGAAUGCCACGGUGAAUACGUUCCCGGGCCUUGUACACACCGCCCGUCACACCAUGGGAGUGGGCUGCAAAAGAAGUGGGUAGUUUAACCUUCGGGAGGACGCUCACCACUUUGUGGUUCAUGACUGGGGUGAAGUCGUAACAAGGUAACCG